This 73-nucleotide transfer RNA is filed under the name Nippostrongylus brasiliensis. It matches the Rfam family "tRNA". Rfam says of the family: Transfer RNA (tRNA) molecules are approximately 80 nucleotides in length. Their secondary structure includes four short double-helical elements and three loops (D, anti-codon, and T loops). Further hydrogen bonds mediate the characteristic L-shaped molecular structure. tRNAs have two regions of fundamental functional importance: the anti-codon, which is responsible for specific mRNA codon recognition, and the 3' end, to which the tRNAs corresponding amino acid is attached (by aminoacyl-tRNA synthetases). tRNAs cope with the degeneracy of the genetic code in two manners: having more than one tRNA (with a specific anti-codon) for a particular amino acid; and 'wobble' base-pairing, i.e. permitting non-standard base-pairing at the 3rd anti-codon position. The record is from Rfam by way of RNAcentral. Lineage: Eukaryota; Metazoa; Nematoda; Chromadorea; Rhabditida; Heligmosomidae.
GAUCAUGUAGCACAGUGGUCAGUGCAGUCUGCCGGCAAUAGAAUGGCGCGGGUUCGAUUCCCGUGCGAUGUCA